GUCUUUCGCACCUGCUGAAAGAUCCCUAAUGGUGCAUGCGAGAGCGUCUGGAGGGAGAGAAUUUCCCUGGAAAAUUUCCUCCACGUAGGAUUUAAAUAGCCUGUGUAAUUUACUUGGCCCCACUGGAAAUUUUGUGACUUGUUUGCCUGUUGUCGACACCUUAGUUUUUGGUACAAAUUUCUCACCAUGAAAGCUCCCUUGCUUUGUUAAGGGAGUUUGAAGGCUCGCUAAUAUAGCUUCAUUCCACUAAUGAACACU
This 258-nucleotide long non-coding RNA is filed under the name Drosophila guanche. The record is from RNAcentral. Lineage: Eukaryota; Metazoa; Arthropoda; Insecta; Diptera; Drosophilidae.